This 1638-nucleotide long non-coding RNA is filed under the name Homo sapiens (human). RNAcentral's name for it is "HSALNT0105980". The record is from RNAcentral. Lineage: Eukaryota; Metazoa; Chordata; Mammalia; Primates; Hominidae.
GGCCUCUCUGGGAGCAAGAGAAGAGCUGAGACCUGGAAGAAUGAAAAGCCAGCCUUCAGCUUGCUUCUGAGAGAUGGGCUGCAUUAGAGAAGGGUGCAGUUUUGAAGACUGCCUUUCUCUGUGUCCAUACCUACAGAUGGGUGGGGAGGGCUGUGGAGGCAGCCUAGCAGUGCUGGGGAAGAGCAAAGAGCGCAGUCCCAGGAGGCCAGCCGGGGACGGGAAGGAGGGGAGGGAGAGAAGCUGGAGCCAUAGAUAUCAGAGAUGGAAAAGACUUGCCAGGUCAUCGAGUGGGUCCCCUGGGGCCCGUGGAGGAGACACAGCUACAGGAGAAACCCCGCCUGCUCGUUUCAUGCUCCGGCUGAGAGCUCGAGCUGGAGAUGGGAGCUAGUUGAAAUUAGAUGGGAAUUUAUUUAAGGCUUUUAAACAUUGCUGCACUCAGAGGGCCUUAAGAGAACCACAGAUAGUUCCCUCACAGCCUGCCCUGAAGCCACAGCAGUGACACAUCUGGCCCCUGGGCUGCCUCAGUGAGCUUUGGAGGAUGGGGGGAAAGAGGCUGCCUCCACCCCCCUCUUGCUCUGUAGCCCUCUCAGCCCGGAAUGCCGCUGGCUGGAGUGUCCUGGAGCUGGCAGUGGGCCACGCCUAACCAUGUCCCCUGCCUGGUACGUACAGAUGUGGAGGACAGCUACCCUGUAUCAUCUCAGCCAUCCUGUUUUCCAGGGGAGGACUGAGUGCUAAUGGUGGAGGGUCAGAGGAGGGCAAGGGCUGCUCUCUGGAUUCCCCAGCUGAGUCUAUCCCAGUGGGCUGGGGCCUUAACAGCCUCUUUCUGGCUUGGGGCCAUGAUGCAGAUGCCUUUACAAUGUUCACUUUUUCUAGAUAUUGUUGACUCACAAAUUUCCCUAAGCUUCACCCAGGGUGUUCAGAAACCACUUUGCAAAACAUAUGAGAAGGCAAUGAGAAAAUAGUACAAAGACAAUCGUGUGCACAGCUAUGAGCAUAGACUCUGGAGCCCAGGCUGUCUGGGUUCAAAUCCCAGGUCCACCCCUUAGAAGUUGUGUGACCUUGAGUCAGUUACUUAACCUCUCUAUGCUUCAGCUUCUGAAUCUAUAAGGUGUGGUUACCAAUAAUACCCAUCCGAUAAGGCAGUUGUGAAGAUAAAAUGUAUGAAGGUAAUCAAGUGCUCAGAUAGGUGCCCGGCAUAUAGGGAAGGAGUGAAAAAUGUUAGCGAUGAUUUUCAUCUGUGUUUCUAAUAAUCAGUUCCUCGAGGUGGUCCUGAUGGAAGCUGGAGAACCACUGUUAUACUGACUGUCAAUGAUGACGAUAAAGUUCCUGUCGUCAGCCUACUGAAGGAAGGGUCUUGGAAAGCAUUCAGGUCAUCAGCUGCUAUGCUAUGAACAUGCUCAGGCAACUCACAGAGAGGCCCUUGUCAUGGGAAACUGAGGCUGCCAGAAAGAAACCACCCAAGUGAGUUUGGCAGCAGAUUCUUCAGUCUCAGUCAAGCGUUGAGAUGACUGCAGCCUUGACAGACAGCACAACUGCAGCCUCGAGAGAAAGCCUGAGCCAGAGGCACCCAGCUAAGCUGUGCCCAGAUUUCUUAACUACAGAACUGGUGAUUAAUAAAUGUUUGCUGUUUUAAACCAC